GGACAGAAGCUUCAGCACCGCACCAUUCAACCAAUCAAAAUUCACUACCAACUCAACACUCAACCAACUUCUACACUCAAAACCACGGAACCAUCCCUCUCCCUUUUCAUUCCUACACCGCAAACCACUACACUUCAUUUUCAUCGUGAGGCAUCCGAGAGCAAGGGAGGGAACGUGAGUGAAAUCUUCUUUCCAUAUUGCUCUGACCGUAAGCUGGAGGAAAGGCAGAGAGGGACCGUGAG
Molecule: long non-coding RNA, 242 nt
Filed under: Coffea arabica (coffee)
Lineage: Eukaryota; Viridiplantae; Streptophyta; Magnoliopsida; Gentianales; Rubiaceae
Description: long non-coding RNA (CARA_LNC005068)
Source: RNAcentral